RNAcentral lists this ribosomal RNA (254 nucleotides) under uncultured bacterium. RNAcentral's name for it is "partial 16S ribosomal RNA". It matches the Rfam family "Bacterial small subunit ribosomal RNA", at positions 524 to 776 of the family's 1533-position model. The record is from RNAcentral.
UACGUAGGGACCAAGCGUUGUUCGGAUUUACUGGGCGUAAAGGGCGCGUAGGCGGCCUCCGCAAGUCAGUUGUGAAAUCUCCGAGCUUAACUCGGAAAGGUCAACUGAUUCUGCGGGGCUAGAGUGCGGAAGGGGCAACUGGAAUUCUUGGUGUAGCGGUGAAAUGCGUAGAUAUCAAGAGGAACACCUGCGGCGAAGGCGGGUUGCUGGGCCGACACUGACGCUGAGGCGCGAAAGCUAGGGGAGCGAACGGG